CUGGGGGGAGGUUGGCCCAUCCUGGGAACGGAAACCGUGCAAAGCAAAACCAAGCUAAAACCCUCCACGAGGGGGGACCGCUGCGUUUGUUCACGGCUCUAGUCCAGUUCCCAGCAAACACAAGCAUCCGGAUGCAAUGCUUUUGCUGUAUUUGUGAGUUAAAUUCAAGCAAGCUCUUACCAAGAAAGCAAGCUGUGUCAGUAUAGAGGCUGGACAAAGAAGAAAGUAAUGAGCUAUGAAAAAGUCCUGAAUGAAGACUUUAGACGAAUUUCAAAGGAUGAGAAGUGUCCAGUUAUAGGAAGGAUAAGUUAUUCAGAAUGACAACGAGUCCUCUGUCUGUCGAGUGCUGAACAGAACCCUGGUCAUACAGGUGCCCAGCUCACAUGAAGCUGAAAGUGGUGGUUACUUGUCAAGUGACAUCUGGAUGAACAUGAGCAAAUGAAAGGCACCCAGAAAACCGAGGCUGAACGCUUCAUAUUACAUAAAAUAUGGAAGUGUCAUCUGCCAGUUGCCCAAGAUCCACACCUUUUGUCUCAUAUCUCUGGGACAGCUUCUGCUCCAACCUCAGCCCUUCCCCGGUCAGAAUUUUCCCUUCUCUUUGGGCCUAACGGUUGCACGCAUUCUACUGGCUCUGCCCCAGCUGUACUCUCUCUCAACAUGAUGUCCAGACCUGAUACCCUAUGCCAGGUGGGCUCUGACCGACACAGAAUAAAAUGGAACCAUCAC
Molecule: long non-coding RNA, 726 nt
Organism: Prionailurus viverrinus (fishing cat)
Lineage: Eukaryota; Metazoa; Chordata; Mammalia; Carnivora; Felidae
Exons: 5
Source: RefSeq, a predicted model, not a curated record